UGGUGAACAUUUUUCUUUCUUUUCCCCCCUUUCUCUCUGUGGUUCCACAAACUAUGAGGCUCUUACUUUCUCAUUUCACUAUGAGAAUAGGUAGGAAUGAGGGUCCCAAUCCUCCUCGAGUAUUCUUUUUCUAACCCAUUUUCUAUUUUGCAGGUACAUGACGAUAACAACACACAUCCAAGCAAGAGAAUUCAAAACGGUUUCCUUGGGGUACAAUGGAUGUGAGGGGUGUUAAUACCUUCCCCUUG
This 248-nucleotide long non-coding RNA is filed under the name Lathyrus oleraceus (garden pea). Its description in RNAcentral is "Pisum sativum (pea) long non-coding RNA (PSAT_LNC028893)". The record is from RNAcentral. Lineage: Eukaryota; Viridiplantae; Streptophyta; Magnoliopsida; Fabales; Fabaceae.